This 253-nucleotide ribosomal RNA is filed under the name uncultured bacterium. RNAcentral describes it as "partial 16S ribosomal RNA". It matches the Rfam family "Archaeal small subunit ribosomal RNA", at positions 474 to 727 of the family's 1478-position model. The record is from RNAcentral.
UACCAGCUCCUCGAGUGGUCGGGGCGAUUAUUGGGCCUAAAGCAUCCGUAGCCGGUUCUGUAGGUCCUCUGUUAAAUCCAGCUGCUUAACAGAUGGGCUGCGGAAGAUACUAUGGAGCUAGGAGGCGGGAGAGGCAAGCGGUACUCGAUGGGUAGGGGUAAAAUCCGUUGAUCCAUUGAAGACCACCAGUGGCGAAGGCGGCUUGCCAGAACGCGCUCGACGGUGAGGGAUGAAAGCUGGGGGAGCAAACCGG